This 447-nucleotide ribosomal RNA is filed under the name uncultured bacterium. Its description in RNAcentral is "bacterial SSU rRNA". It matches the Rfam family "Bacterial small subunit ribosomal RNA", at positions 330 to 792 of the family's 1533-position model. The record is from RNAcentral.
UCCAGACUCCUACGGGAGGCAGCAGUGGGGAAUAUUGCACAAUGGGCGAAAGCCUGAUGCAGCAACGCCGCGUGAAGGAAGAAGGCCUUCGGGUCGUAAACUUCUGUCCUUGGGGAAGAAGAACUGACGGUACCCAAGGAGGAAGCCCCGGCUAACUACGUGCCAGCAGCCGCGGUAAUACGUAUGGGGCAAGCGUUAUCCGGAUUUACUGGGUGUAAAGGGAGUGCAGGCGGCUUGGCAAGUCUGAUGUGAAAGGCUGGGGCUCAACCCCAGGACUGCAUUGGAAACUGUUAGGCUGGAGUGUCGGAGAGGUAAGCGGAAUUCCUAGUGUAGCGGUGAAAUGCGUAGAUAUUAGGAGGAACACCAGUGGCGAAGGCGGCUUACUGGACGACAACUGACGCUGAGGCUCGAAAGCGUGGGGAGCAAACAGGAUUAGAUACCCCUGUA